CCCUCCCCAAGAUGGCGCCAGCGGCCGCGCGCCCUCCCCAAGAUGGCGGCGGGCAGCUCGGCGCGGCGGGCGGCGCGGCCGGGGCGCUGUGUGGGGCCGCCCGGCCGCAGCCGCGCGAAGACCCGCAGCGAGAGGGGCGGCCCCGGGGCGGCGGCGGCGGCGGCGAGCCCGGCUUCCUUGCGCAAAGCAACUGACAGACGGCGCUCGAAGAGGCGAAAGGGCGAGGACGACAGCGGUGCGGUAAACCCAGAGCGAGGAGGGCCGGCGCGGGGGCGCGGGGACCUCACCACGCCGAGGGCAGGGCCUCCGGCCUCCUCUGAGGAUGGGCGCUCGGGAGACCCUGGAGACGGCAGCGCAACUCAUCGGAAAAGAGGUGAAAGCGCUCCCGAGACGAGUGCGGAGGGACGGGGCGAGGGGCACGACGUUUCUCCGAAGCCCUUUGCAGCGGCAUCGAGUAGCGCUCCGUCCAAAAUGGGAGGCGGUGAGGAUCUGCAGAGCCGCGUCCGCCGCGUGGAAGAGGAGAGCAGCGGCGAGAGCGCGCUUUCGGGUGAGCCCGGCCCGGAGGAUGGCGGUCCCCAGAAGAGACCGGCACAGCUCGAUGAUAGCGCUUUCUUAGACGAGGACAGUAACCAGCCAAUGCCAGUGGACCGAUUCUUUGGAAACGUUGAGUUUAUACAGGACCUCCCAGCAGUUGCACUUGCAAGCACAACAAUGAGCAGACGAGAAUUUAGAAAGCUGCAUUUCAUUGCAAAGGAAGAUGACGAGGAGGAAGAGGAUGUCCGCUAACCACAAAAUGUGAAAUACGAUCUUAAUACAAUUCUAGCUGGACUGGCUGAAUUUAUGUGGGUAAGGAGGAGGACCAACUGCAUGAAGGAAGUUUCCUUACAAAUGAGCCAAAAACUGGUUUAGCGAAUCCUAUUCGUUUCACAACUGCACUCUGCCUGAAAAUGGGUCUGAGGGUUUUUUUGCCAGAGACAGGUAAAGAGAGCAAUCUUCCCAAAAGGAUUCCAUGUUACCAGACACUGUUGCAGCAUCCAAGCAUCUUUACGGCAAUGCACAGUUCAUAGUGGAGCUGAGUGUAUGAUGGGGGCAAGGAUGCGGGAAAGACUCGCUGGCAACAGCUUUACUACUUAAGAUAAAGAGCAAGAAACAGCACUGCUGAGGACCAGGUGGACUGUCUGCUUCUGAAAGCAGUAACAGAUAUUGUAGUUGUUAAAUGGUUCUUGUUAACGCACAUACACACAGAAUGUUAAAACAGUAUCGGAUAAAAACCGAAGAGUUCAGGAAGAACUGCAGAGUUCAGAAUGAAGAGUUCAGCGUGACCUGGGAACUGGAAGAUGAACUUACAAAGAAAACCUAAACAGAAGACAGAGAAGGCUGAGCUGGCUGAUGUGUACAAGUUACAUCAUUAGCCGACUGUUAAAAGAUACAAGCGCAGAUCUACUUUGCGUUAAUGGGAAAAGUCUCCCUUAUUUGUAUAUUGUAGAAGUACACUGGGUGAAGCAAUAAAGUUGGUUUUUCACCGUU
This is an RNA transcript of Dromaius novaehollandiae (emu), 1527 nucleotides long. It is a transcript of the gene named chromosome 24 C1orf174 homolog, with no coding region annotated. NCBI's taxonomy places the organism in Eukaryota, Metazoa, Chordata, Aves, Casuariiformes, Dromaiidae. The record is from RefSeq and is a predicted model, not a curated record. The transcript has 7 exons.